RNAcentral lists this ribosomal RNA (2773 nucleotides) under Escherichia coli. RNAcentral describes it as "bacterial LSU rRNA". It matches the Rfam family "Bacterial large subunit ribosomal RNA". Lineage: Bacteria; Pseudomonadati; Pseudomonadota; Gammaproteobacteria; Enterobacterales; Enterobacteriaceae. The record is from RNAcentral.
AGCGUACACGGUGGAUGCCCUGGCAGUCAGAGGCGAUGAAGGACGUGCUAAUCUGCGAUAAGCGUCGGUAAGGUGAUAUGAACCGUUAUAACCGGCGAUUUCCGAAUGGGGAAACCCAGUGUGUUUCGACACACUAUCAUUAACUGAAUCCAUAGGUUAAUGAGGCGAACCGGGGGAACUGAAACAUCUAAGUACCCCGAGGAAAAGAAAUCAACCGAGAUUCCCCCAGUAGCGGCGAGCGAACGGGGAGCAGCCCAGAGCCUGAAUCAGUGUGUGUGUUAGUGGAAGCGUCUGGAAAGGCGCGCGAUACAGGGUGACAGCCCCGUACACAAAAAUGCACAUAUUGUGAGCUCGAUGAGUAGGGCGGGACACGUGGUAUCCUGUCUGAAUAUGGGGGGACCAUCCUCCAAGGCUAAAUACUCCUGACUGACCGAUAGUGAACCAGUACCGUGAGGGAAAGGCGAAAAGAACCCCGGCGAGGGGAGUGAAAAAGAACCUGAAACCGUGUACGUACAAGCAGUGGGAGCCUCUUUUAUGGGGUGACUGCGUACCUUUUGUAUAAUGGGUCAGCGACUUAUAUUCUGUAGCAAGGUUAACCGAAUAGGGGAGCCGAAGGGAAACCGAGUCUUAACUGGGCGUUAAGUUGCAGGGUAUAGACCCGAAACCCGGUGAUCUAGCCAUGGGCAGGUUGAAGGUUGGGUAACACUAACUGGAGGACCGAACCGACUAAUGUUGAAAAAUUAGCGGAUGACUUGUGGCUGGGGGUGAAAGGCCAAUCAAACCGGGAGAUAGCUGGUUCUCCCCGAAAGCUAUUUAGGUAGCGCCUCGUGAAUUCAUCUCCGGGGGUAGAGCACUGUUUCGGCAAGGGGGUCAUCCCGACUUACCAACCCGAUGCAAACUGCGAAUACCGGAGAAUGUUAUCACGGGAGACACACGGCGGGUGCUAACGUCCGUCGUGAAGAGGGAAACAACCCAGACCGCCAGCUAAGGUCCCAAAGUCAUGGUUAAGUGGGAAACGAUGUGGGAAGGCCCAGACAGCCAGGAUGUUGGCUUAGAAGCAGCCAUCAUUUAAAGAAAGCGUAAUAGCUCACUGGUCGAGUCGGCCUGCGCGGAAGAUGUAACGGGGCUAAACCAUGCACCGAAGCUGCGGCAGCGACGCUGAUGCGUUGUUGGGUAGGGGAGCGUUCUGUAAGCCUGUGAAGGUGUGCUGUGAGGCAUGCUGGAGGUAUCAGAAGUGCGAAUGCUGACAUAAGUAACGAUAAAGCGGGUGAAAAGCCCGCUCGCCGGAAGACCAAGGGUUCCUGUCCAACGUUAAUCGGGGCAGGGUGAGUCGACCCCUAAGGCGAGGCCGAAAGGCGUAGUCGAUGGGAAACAGGUUAAUAUUCCUGUACUUGGUGUUACUGCGAAGGGGGGACGGAGAAGGCUAUGUUGGCCGGGCGACGGUUGUCCCGGUUUAAGCGUGUAGGCUGGUUUUCCAGGCAAAUCCGGAAAAUCAAGGCUGAGGCGUGAUGACGAGGCACUACGGUGCUGAAGCAACAAAUGCCCUGCUUCCAGGAAAAGCCUCUAAGCAUCAGGUAACAUCAAAUCGUACCCCAAACCGACACAGGUGGUCAGGUAGAGAAUACCAAGGCGCUUGAGAGAACUCGGGUGAAGGAACUAGGCAAAAUGGUGCCGUAACUUCGGGAGAAGGCACGCUGAUAUGUAGGUGAAGCGACUUGCUCGUGGAGCUGAAAUCAGUCGAAGAUACCAGCUGGCUGCAACUGUUUAUUAAAAACACAGCACUGUGCAAACACGAAAGUGGACGUAUACGGUGUGACGCCUGCCCGGUGCCGGAAGGUUAAUUGAUGGGGUCAGCGCAAGCGAAGCUCUUGAUCGAAGCCCCGGUAAACGGCGGCCGUAACUAUAACGGUCCUAAGGUAGCGAAAUUCCUUGUCGGGUAAGUUCCGACCUGCACGAAUGGCGUAAUGAUGGCCAGGCUGUCUCCACCCGAGACUCAGUGAAAUUGAACUCGCUGUGAAGAUGCAGUGUACCCGCGGCAAGACGGAAAGACCCCGUGAACCUUUACUAUAGCUUGACACUGAACAUUGAGCCUUGAUGUGUAGGAUAGGUGGGAGGCUUAGAAGUGUGGACGCCAGUCUGCAUGGAGCCGACCUUGAAAUACCACCCUUUAAUGUUUGAUGUUCUAACGUUGACCCGUAAUCCGGGUUGCGGACAGUGUCUGGUGGGUAGUUUGACUGGGGCGGUCUCCUCCUAAAGAGUAACGGAGGAGCACGAAGGUUGGCUAAUCCUGGUCGGACAUCAGGAGGUUAGUGCAAUGGCAUAAGCCAGCUUGACUGCGAGCGUGACGGCGCGAGCAGGUGCGAAAGCAGGUCAUAGUGAUCCGGUGGUUCUGAAUGGAAGGGCCAUCGCUCAACGGAUAAAAGGUACUCCGGGGAUAACAGGCUGAUACCGCCCAAGAGUUCAUAUCGACGGCGGUGUUUGGCACCUCGAUGUCGGCUCAUCACAUCCUGGGGCUGAAGUAGGUCCCAAGGGUAUGGCUGUUCGCCAUUUAAAGUGGUACGCGAGCUGGGUUUAGAACGUCGUGAGACAGUUCGGUCCCUAUCUGCCGUGGGCGCUGGAGAACUGAGGGGGGCUGCUCCUAGUACGAGAGGACCGGAGUGGACGCAUCACUGGUGUUCGGGUUGUCAUGCCAAUGGCACUGCCCGGUAGCUAAAUGCGGAAGAGAUAAGUGCUGAAAGCAUCUAAGCACGAAACUUGCCCCGAGAUGAGUUCU